ACCACAGAAUACAUUCAUCAACCUGUACCACGGGAUAGAUACCACACAGUUCUGCAUCUUAGACUGUCAUCAGUUUUCAUAAUGAGCUAAUAACUUAUAAUCAUGAUAGAUAUUACUUGCUUAAUAGCCAUAAAUAAGUCUUUAGUGAUGAAAUAUAAAAAAGGGAUACAGAAAGUUGAGAAAAUUACAAAAGAGAUGUAGACAAAGAAAAACCUUAUAGGAUUAUUCUCUUGAAAUUCAUUUUAGAUCUGAAAAAGAAAGAAAAUACAAUAAUACUUUAUAAAAAUUUAUCAGCAUUUCCUUCCCUUUAUAGA
This 314-nucleotide unclassified non-coding RNA is filed under the name Hevea brasiliensis (rubber tree). The record is from RNAcentral. Lineage: Eukaryota; Viridiplantae; Streptophyta; Magnoliopsida; Malpighiales; Euphorbiaceae.